CCUACGGGGUGCAGCAGUAGGGAAUUUUCGGCAAUGGGGGGAACCCUGACCGAGCAACGCCGCGUGAACGAAGAAGUUAUUCGUAAUGUAAAGUUCUUUUAACAGGGAAGAAAGAGAAAUUUGACGGUACCUGAAGAAUAAGCUCCGGCAAACCACGUGCCAGCAGCCUCGGAAAUACGUAGGGAGAGACCGUUAUCCGGAAUUAUUGGGCGUAAAGGGGGCGUAGAUGGCAUAGUAAGUCUUUUGUAAAAAUUCUGGGCUAAACCCAGUAGGGCAAAAGAUACUGCAAAGCUAGAGUAUGACAGAGGCAAGUGGAACUACAUGUGUAGCGGUAAAAUGCGUAGAUAUAAGUAAGAACACCAGUGGCGAAGGCGGCUUGCUGGGUCGUAACUGACGUUGAGGCACGAAAGCGUGGGGAGCAAACAGGAUUAGAUACCCGGGUAGUC
RNAcentral lists this ribosomal RNA (446 nucleotides) under uncultured bacterium. Its description in RNAcentral is "partial 16S ribosomal RNA". It matches the Rfam family "Bacterial small subunit ribosomal RNA", at positions 338 to 795 of the family's 1533-position model. The record is from RNAcentral.